AGAGAGAGAGAGAGCAGAGAGAUUCUUAUGACAAAGACCCACACCACUCUAACUCCAAUGUCUCAACCACAAAAAUUCAACAAAAAAAAAAUCACGCAGCUCUCAAGCAUAUCAGCCAAGGGAGAGAGAUCAGGGGCCACGAGGUUUGAAGAAACAGAGGCACCCCUGAAACUUGUCUGGUGGUAUCAUUCCCCCUCCUUUGCUUGUGUCUACUGCCUCUAGUAGCUUCACUACCUCCUCCAUCUCCGGACGCCUGUCUGGAUUCGGGUCCCAGCAUCUCUUCAUUAUGUUUGCCACCGACUGUGGGCAGCAUUUCGGAAUCUCUGGUCUCAGAUUCUGUGAUCAACCAAGCAAGAGAGAGAGGAUCACAUUUUCUGAUUAAAAACCCUUUAAUAGGAGAGACUGUAAAGAGAGAGAGACCUUAUGAACAACGGCAUGAGAGAUCUCAGCAAAACUAGUGUCAGCGUAGGGCAUGUCGCAGCAGUAUAUUUCCCAGAGGCAUACACCAAAACUAUACACAUCGCAUUUCCUGUUGUAAGCCUUUCCUUCCAGAACCUAUCCACCACCCCCAAAAACUUACGAUAUUUAUUUUCACAAUUACGAAACACAAAAAGGAUGUAAUAAUACAAAAAAUACCUCAGGUCCCAUGUAUCCAAGAGUUCCAGUUUCACCAGUCAUGUCUUGAGGGUUCUGAGCUUCGACUCUAGCGACUCCGAAAUCAGCAAUCUUGAGCGUCUUGUUAGUUUCCAGCAACAUGUUCUCUGACUUCACGUCCCGAUGCACAAUCGCCUUGGAGUGGAGGUAACUCAGCCUAAGACAGAAAAAAGAUAGGCGUCUUGUUAUCAAAUAAAAGGAUGCAAUCUCUCAUAUAUAUACUAUAUAAUCCCAAAAUCAGGGAAUAGAAAAAAAGGCAGAGAGUGGUUAGUUACCCUCUAGCGAGAUCCAAAGCAAGUUGAAUGACAUCCUUGAUGGGGAGUUUGCUCCUAUAUUUCUUGAUGAGGAACUUCUUGAGGGUGCCUCCAGCGACAUACUCAACGACAACACAACAGGCCUUGGCAGGAUGUGCUCCACCAGAAUCACUACCAGAAGGGAUCUUCAGAUCAGAGGUCCCCAUGGAUGCUCCUAUAAACUGCAAAGGAAAUUUUGAAAUUAAAGUCAAAGCUUGUUCUACUACUAGUACUAAUGGUUGUGAAAGUCUCGAGUAGCAACCUUGGUAACGUUGGGAUGAUCGAGUUUCUGCCAGACGGCUACCUCUUGCUCGAAGGAAAUGCGCAGAUCAUCUGCUGUUGAGAGACCAUCUUCUCCCCAAUCUAACACCUUCACUGGUCACACACGAAAUGAAAUGAAAUGAAAUCGUAUCAAUUUCUAUUACAAAGAAUAAAAAAAAAGAACAUUUGAGUACAACGGACCAGCGACUUGUUGACCGGCGUAGACACCGCGGUAGACAGUGCCGUAAGUGCCGCGAGCGAGGACGUGAUUCAUAUCGAGUUUGGAGAGGUCGAUCUCCCAUUCCUGCAUCGGAGUCUUCCUUGUAGCGGAGGAGGAGCCUUGACCCAUAUGCAAAUCCCAUUUGCUGAAAUCAACAGUAUCUGCCCUGAAGUAUUGACCUCCUCCUCCUCCUACUGCUCCAGCGCUCCUGCUCCCGACUCCCCCUAAUUUGGAGUCGGAUCCGAUUUCCACCGCCUCUCCGCCUCCGGACGCCAUUUAUUUCUCUCUGGCGACUAGGAGACCAGCAGAUGAUCAAUCGAAAAGGGAGGGAGGGAGGGAGUUGUGGAGCAAGGCUAGGGUUUUCGAAUUCACGAGUAAUAUAUGUUAUGUGGUGGAGAGGCACAAGACAAGUUCCCAAGGGACAAGAAGCCACGAGACUUUAGAAAUAAGAAGAAGAAAUAGAUUGAUUGUGAUCUCCACACACAACGCAAAGAAGAAGAAGAAGAAGAAGACAAACUCUCAACAAUUUGACCAAAUCAUUUCUCUCUCUCUCUCUUUUUUUACUGUUUCACCGCCCAAGUCUCACUCUCCCUCUCUCUGGGUCCAGAAAAUUGAUUAUUCCUUUCCCCUCUCUCUCCCGCCCAUUAUUAUAUUAGUUUUUAGAUAAAACUUUAAAACUGAUAUAGAUACGUACGUGUCUUUCUUUGUUUUGAUUCUCCUUUUUCUUUGGACACAGCCAAGCCUCCCUCCUCCAACUCUGAGAAACUUUCCUUUUAUUAACACACAACACAACAUGUACACUACUACUAUGUUUUCUUCUCCUUUCCAAACCUAAUUUUGACUUUUCAUCAAAUAGACAGGCGCAGCAGUGAACCCACCCUCCAACGAUUCCUACAACUUGAAGCAACGCACGCCUCUUUCUGCUCCUAAUUAUGAUCAUAUGACCUCCAUUUAUUUAAUUUUUUUUCUUUCUACUUUCAUCUCGAGUCAUUUUCUGGUGAAUUAACAUCCCUACUUGCAAUAUAAAUAUCUUCCACAGAUAGAAACUAACAACGUUUUUGUUUUUUUUACGCUAACCCACCAAAGGGUCCACUCUUUCAGCAACAGCACCAUCUCACGCCUCUCUUUGAUAUUACGUAACUUACUUUCUGUUAAUUAUAUAUUUAUAUACUAUAGUUUUUCUCCAUCAUGUGAAUAUGUUUUGGAAUCUUCGUCCGUCGUUGUUAUUUGGGAGCACAAAGCACCAAAACACAUCCACCACAGCAUAUACCUUUUCUAUUAUUUUUUGAAUCACCUUAUUAAUGGAACCCAACUACACAUUUGCAAAAUAAACGCUUCUGUUUUGAUUAUUUUUUGAAUCGUCUUUUUUUUUUGAAGUUACAAAAUUUCAUAAAUUUUCUGCCCCUAGAUAUUUUUUUGGGCUAUUACUUUACUGAUGCUGCAUUGUUCAGUGGACUUGAUAGGAUGGGCUUUCUUUUUUUUUUUUUGUAUUAUUAUCAGAUAAGAGAUGAUCCACAUUCCCUCAUAAAAUAAAAAGAAAAAAAACAAACAGAGCUUUAUCAUCAGUUUUUAUACACAACAGGACUGUGUGUAAAUACAUAUAUAUAGAGAGAGAGAGAGAGCAGAGAGAUUCUUAUGACAAAGACCCACACCACUCUAACUCCAAUGUCUCAACCACAAAAAUUCAACAAAAAAAAAAUCACGCAGCUCUCAAGCAUAUCAGCCAAGGGAGAGAGAUCAGGGGCCACGAGGUUUGAAGAAACAGAGGCACCCCUGAAACUUGUCUGGUGGUAUCAUUCCCCCUCCUUUGCUUGUGUCUACUGCCUCUAGUAGCUUCACUACCUCCUCCAUCUCCGGACGCCUGUCUGGAUUCGGGUCCCAGCAUCUCUUCAUU
Molecule: long non-coding RNA, 3322 nt
Filed under: Brassica napus (rape)
Lineage: Eukaryota; Viridiplantae; Streptophyta; Magnoliopsida; Brassicales; Brassicaceae
Description: long non-coding RNA (BNAP_LNC003218)
Source: RNAcentral